Molecule: ribosomal RNA, 402 nt
Filed under: uncultured bacterium
Lineage: Bacteria
Description: bacterial SSU rRNA
Rfam family: Bacterial small subunit ribosomal RNA
Source: RNAcentral
GGAAUCUUCCACAAUGGGCGAAAGCCUGAUGCAGCAACGCCGCGUGAAGGAAGAAGGCCUUCGGGUCGUAAACUUCUAUCAGCAGGGAAGAAAACAGACGGUACCUGACUAAGAAGCCCCGGCUAACUACGUGCCAGCAGCCGCGGUAAUACGUAGGGGGCAAGCGUUAUCCGGAUUUACUGGGUGUAAAGGGGGCGCAGACGGCCAUGGCAAGCCCGGUGUGAAAGGCAGGGGCAUAACCCCUGGACUGCACUGGGAACUGUCAGGCUGGAGUGCCGGAGGGGUAAGCGGAAUUCCUGGUGUAGCGGUGAAAUGCGUAGAUAUCAGGAGGAACACCGGCGGCGAAGGCGGCUUACUGGACGGCAACUGACGUUGAGGCCCGAAAGCGUGGGGAGCGAACAA